UGGUGAUGAGGGCAUAGAGGUAACACUCCUUCCCAUUCCGAACAGGAAAGUUAAGGUCUAUAGCGCCGAUGGUACUGCAUGGGAGACU
Molecule: ribosomal RNA, 88 nt
Filed under: Clostridium neonatale
Lineage: Bacteria; Bacillati; Bacillota; Clostridia; Eubacteriales; Clostridiaceae
Source: RNAcentral